RNAcentral lists this ribosomal RNA (500 nucleotides) under uncultured bacterium. RNAcentral's name for it is "bacterial SSU rRNA". It matches the Rfam family "Bacterial small subunit ribosomal RNA", at positions 28 to 518 of the family's 1533-position model. The record is from RNAcentral.
GACGAACGCUGGCGGCGUGGAUUAGGCAUGCAAGUCGAACGGUAUCAUCCUUUCGGGGGUGAGAGAGUGGCGAACUGGUGAGUAACACGUAGGUUAUCUACCCUCAAGACGGGGACAACCCAGGGAAACUUGGGCUAAUACCGGAUGUGAGCAACUUUUAGUUGUUUGAAAGGUGGCGUAAGCUGUCGCUUGGGGAUGAGCCUGCGUCCUAUUAGUUAGUUGGUGAGGUAACGGCUCACCUAGGCAAUGAUAGGUAGGCGGCCUUAACGGGUGGUCGCCCACACUGGGAUUGAGAUACGGCCCAGACUCCUACGGGAGGCAGCAGUCGAGAAUAGUCUACAAUGGCCGAAAGGCUGAUAGUGCGACGCCGCGUGAACGAAGAAGCCCUUCGGGGUGUAAAGUUCUUUUAUAUGUGAGCAGUGCUUUCUAUGUGAACAGCAUGGGGAGAGAGAUAUUAGCAUAUGAAUAAAGCAACGGCUAACUCCGUGCCAGCAGCCGAC